RNAcentral lists this signal recognition particle RNA (299 nucleotides) under Nannospalax galili (Upper Galilee mountains blind mole rat). RNAcentral's name for it is "Metazoan signal recognition particle RNA (ENSNGAG00000006541.1)". It matches the Rfam family "Metazoan signal recognition particle RNA". Rfam says of the family: The signal recognition particle (SRP) is a universally conserved ribonucleoprotein. It is involved in the co-translational targeting of proteins to membranes. The record is from Rfam by way of RNAcentral. Lineage: Eukaryota; Metazoa; Chordata; Mammalia; Rodentia; Spalacidae.
GCAGGGCCUCAUGGCCCAUGUCUGUAGUCCCAGCUACUUGGGAGGCUGAGGCAGGAGGAUUGCUUGAGUCCAGGAGUUCUGGGCUGUGGUGUGCUAUGCCAAUCAGGUGUCUGAACUAAGUUCGACAUCAAUAUGGUGACCUCCCAGGAGCCAAGUACCACCAGGUUGCCUAAGCAGGGGUGAACCAGCCCAGGACAGAAAUGGAGCAGGUCAAAACUCCAGUGCUGAUCAGUAGUUGGAUCGCAUUUGUGAAUAGCCACUGCACUCCAUCCUGGGCAACGUAACAAGAUGCAUUUCUU